CAGAGCGUAGUUCAAACAGUAGAACAGUUCCCUUACACUGAGAAAGCACCCGUGCAAAUCGAGUCGCCCUGA
Molecule: transfer RNA, 72 nt
Filed under: Scorpaenopsis cirrosa
Lineage: Eukaryota; Metazoa; Chordata; Actinopteri; Perciformes; Scorpaenidae
Also listed under: 2 other names
Description: tRNA-Val
Rfam family: tRNA
About the family: Transfer RNA (tRNA) molecules are approximately 80 nucleotides in length. Their secondary structure includes four short double-helical elements and three loops (D, anti-codon, and T loops).
Source: RNAcentral